This 398-nucleotide ribosomal RNA is filed under the name Trechaleoides keyserlingi. RNAcentral's name for it is "partial 16S ribosomal RNA". Lineage: Eukaryota; Metazoa; Arthropoda; Arachnida; Araneae; Trechaleidae. The record is from RNAcentral.
AAAAACAUUUCUAUUAGAAAUAAUUAAUAGUAAAAUCUGCUCAAUGAAAAUUAAAUAGCCGCAUUUGUGCUAAGGUAGCAUAAUAAUUUGUCUUUUAAUUAAAGACUAGAACAAAAGAUUUAACAUCUUAAUUCAUUUCUCAAAUUUUUAUAUUAAAAUUAUUUUAAAUGUAAAAAAACAUUUAUUUCAUAGAAAGACGAUAAGACCCUAUCGAACUUAACUUCAGUUUAACUGGGGUAGUUAAUUAAUUAUAAUUUUAAUUUACAAUCCUAAAUUAAUUUAGACCUAAUAUAAUUAAAAACAUAACCAAGUUACCGUAGGGAUAACAGCGUAAUAAAAUUUUUAAGAUCUUAUUUAAAAUAAAGAUUGCGACCUCGAUGUUGAUUUAAUUAUCCUAA